This is a long non-coding RNA of Nilaparvata lugens (brown planthopper), 619 nucleotides long. RefSeq lists it as uncharacterized. The transcript is spliced from 2 exons. The record is from RefSeq and is a predicted model, not a curated record. NCBI's taxonomy places the organism in Eukaryota, Metazoa, Arthropoda, Insecta, Hemiptera, Delphacidae.
CUCUAGAAUGUUCAGAAUCGACUGAGGAUACAAAAUAUAAAUGUAGGUCUAUAGGAGUAGGCUAGACUAGAUCAUGCCGACUAUUUCAUAAUUUUGUUUGUGAUAUUACUUACAAAUUGAAUUGCAUAUGAAACUACAGUCAAGUUGGAUAGAUUUAGACUUAUUAAACAUUUCAACUGUACACUGUUAAUAUAUUAUUUAUUUGUAUUGUGUAGAGAAUGUCAAUGAAGUAAUUCAUCAUACAAAAAGUUCCCACAGUCACAAUGUUUUUGGUAUGUGUUGUGUUUGUAUAUAUUGCCAUUAUUUUAACAAAUAAUGUUCACUGAUUCUAUUAAUAAUGUGGAUUUAUAUUUGUAUUACAGAUACUAUUAAUGAAGUUGACUGAAGAUUAGAUGAUUGAUUGACACAAUGCCAACAUCGUGCUCAGCUGUGAAUUGCGAGAGUCGGCGGUCCAAAGACCACAACAGAUCCUUCUUCAAAUUUCCGUUAUCUAAUCCUGAAUUAUGCAAAAAAUGGAUUGGAAAAAUGAAGUGUGACAAAUGAACUCCAACAAAGGCUUCAUCAUUGUGCUCAGACCACUUUGUGGAAACAUGUUUUCGUAAACAUGAAGUAAAUUCAU